This 369-nucleotide long non-coding RNA is filed under the name Gallus gallus (chicken). Its description in RNAcentral is "long non-coding RNA NONGGAT002191". The record is from RNAcentral. Lineage: Eukaryota; Metazoa; Chordata; Aves; Galliformes; Phasianidae.
CUCUGCCCCACCUGUGGUGACCUGAGAGCAGGAGGGACUCACCAUAUGUGGCUGCACUGGAGACUCGGUAAUGAGACUCCAAUACACUGGGAUCCUGACUGCCCUAACUCAAUCUCCCAACCUGAUGCGGACAGCUGUAAUUGUGCUAAUUAGCUGCAGAACCUGUGAUGUACUUCAGCUGGGCUCAGAGUGAAGAGAGAUUAAAACAAAGCCAAAUGAGUGAGAAAGUGCCAGUGUACUUGCAUUCAACUUACAGGCAAGGAAUAACGCACCGUGUGUGCAGACAUCUUCUCUCAACCAGGGUGAGGGAGGGCACAGCACGGGAACAAAGUGUCCCUGGGUAACAUUGGUUAAUUGGCUUGAUAAAUU